Molecule: long non-coding RNA, 279 nt
Filed under: Lathyrus oleraceus (garden pea)
Lineage: Eukaryota; Viridiplantae; Streptophyta; Magnoliopsida; Fabales; Fabaceae
Description: Pisum sativum (pea) long non-coding RNA (PSAT_LNC020795)
Source: RNAcentral
UUUGACCACUUUUUGCAAAAAGGUAGAAACUUUGGCCUUAUGCCAUUGUAUGUUCAAACUUAUUUUCUUAAGUCAAACUUGUAAAUAAACUUAACUAUAUUUGACUUAAACUUUCAAAAAAGCCAAAAAAAGAACUACCUCAUUCAAACCAUUUUAGGCCUUUGUGCCUUUCAAACAUAAAUUUUGUUAAAAUCAACACACUCAUUUUGAAAUUUGUAGCACGAACUAUGAGAUUUUGAUCCCUCAUUUUAAUGUUGGUACGUAGGCACAAGACCGAAG